AGUCAACGGAAAAAGAGAGCUUGCUUCUUUGAUUCAAGCGGCGGGACGGGAGAGAAAAGCCUAAGAAUCUGCCUGGUAGUGGGGGACAACGUCUCGAAAGGGAACGCUAAUACCGCAUACGUCCUACGGGAGAAAGCAAGGGGACCUUCGGACCUUGCGCUAUCAGAUGAGCCUAGGUCGGAUUAGCUAGUUGGUGAGGUAAUGGCUCACCAAGGCGACGAUCCGUAACUGGUCUGAGAGGAUGAUCAGUCACACUGGAACUGAGACACGGUCCAGACUCCUACGGGAGGCAGCAGUGGGGAAUAUUGGACAAUGGGCGAAAGCCUGAUCCAGCCAUGCCGCGUGUGUGAAGAAGGUCUUCGGAUUGUAAAGCACUUUAAGUUGGGAGGAAGGGUUGUAGAUUAAUACUCUGCAAUUUUGACGUUACCGACAGAAUAAGCACCGGCUAACUCUGUGCCAGCAGCCGCGGUAAUACAGAGGGUGCAAGCGUUAAUCGGAAUUACUGGGCGUAAAGCGCGCGUAGGUGGUUUGUUAAGUUGGAUGUGAAAGCCCCGGGCUCAACCUGGGAACUGCAUUCAAAACUGACAAGCUAGAGUAUGGUAGAGGGUGGUGGAAUUUCCUGUGUAGCGGUGAAAUGCGUAGAUAUAGGAAGGAACACCAGUGGCGAAGGCGACCACCUGGACUGAUACUGACACUGAGGUGCGAAAGCGUGGGGAGCAUUCAAGAGUAGAUACCCUGGUAGUCCACGCCGUAAACGAUGUCAAAAAGCCGUUGGGAGCCUUGAGCUCUUAGUGGCGCAGCUAACGCAUAAGUGACCCGCCUGGGGAGGGGG
Molecule: ribosomal RNA, 832 nt
Filed under: Pseudomonas koreensis
Lineage: Bacteria; Pseudomonadati; Pseudomonadota; Gammaproteobacteria; Pseudomonadales; Pseudomonadaceae
Description: bacterial SSU rRNA
Rfam family: Bacterial small subunit ribosomal RNA
Source: RNAcentral